This 301-nucleotide ribosomal RNA is filed under the name uncultured bacterium. Its description in RNAcentral is "partial 16S ribosomal RNA". It matches the Rfam family "Bacterial small subunit ribosomal RNA", at positions 509 to 807 of the family's 1533-position model. The record is from RNAcentral.
CAGCCGCCACGGUAAUACGAAGGGUGCAAGCGUUACUCGGAAUUACUGGGCGUAAAGCGUGCGUAGGUGGUGGUUUAAGUCCGUUGUGAAAGCCCUGGGCUCAACCUGGGAAUUGCAGUGGAUACUGGGUCACUAGAGUGUGGUAGAGGAUAGUGGAAUUUCCGGUGUAGCAGUGAAAUGCGUAGAGAUCGGAAGGAACAUCUGUGGCGAAGGCGACACACUGGCUCACUACUGACGCUGAGGCGCGAAAGCGUGGGGAGCAAACAGGAUUAGAGACCCCCGUAGUCCCUGUCUCUUAUAC